AAAAGAACCAACAGGGAUUGCCCCAGUAACGGCGAGUGAAGCGGCAACAGCUCAAAUUUGAAAUCUGGUCCCCAGGGCCCGAGUUGUAAUUUGUAGAGGAUGCUUUUGGCAAGGUGCCUUCCGAGUUCCCUGGAACGGGACGCCAUAGAGGGUGAGAGCCCCGUCUGGUCGGAUACCGCGCCUCUGUAAAGCUCCUUCGACGAGUCGAGUAGUUUGGGAAUGCUGCUCAAAAUGGGAGGUAUAUGUCUUCUAAAGCUAAAUAUUGGCCAGAGACCGAUAGCGCACAAGUAGAGUGAUCGAAAGAUGAAAAGCACUUUGAAAAGAGGGUUAAAAAGUACGUGAAAUUGUUGAAAGGGAAGCGCCUAUGACCAGACUUGGGCCCGGUGAAUCAUCCAGCGUUCUCGCUGGUGCACUUUGCCGGGCACAGGCCAGCAUCAGUUUGGCGCGGGGGAUAAAGGCUUUGGGAAUGUGGCUCCCUCGGGAGUGUUAUAGCCCAUUGCGCAAUACCCUGCGCCGGACUGAGGUACGCGCAUUUGCAAGGAUGCUGGCGUAAUGGUCAUCAGCGACCCGUCUUGAAACACGGACCAAGGAGUCGUCUUCGUAUGCGAGUGUUCGGGUGUCAAACCCCUACGCGUAAUGAAAGUGAACGCAGGUGAGAGCUUCGGCGCAUCAUCGACCGAUCCUGAUGUUCUCGGAUGGAUUUGAGUAAGAGCAUACGGGGCCGGACCCGAAAGAAGGUGAACUAUGCCUGUAUAGGGUGAAGCCAGAGGAAACUCUGGUGGAGGCUCGCAGCGGUUCUGACGUGCGAAUCGAUCGUCAAAUAUGGGCAUGGGGGCGAAAGACUAAUCGAAC
Molecule: ribosomal RNA, 852 nt
Filed under: Lecanicillium fusisporum
Lineage: Eukaryota; Fungi; Ascomycota; Sordariomycetes; Hypocreales; Cordycipitaceae
Description: LSU rRNA
Rfam family: Eukaryotic large subunit ribosomal RNA
Source: RNAcentral